GUGGGUGUAGCUCAGUGGUAGAGCAUGUGCUUAGCAUGCACGAGGUCCUGGGUUCAAUCCCCAGUGCCUCCA
This 72-nucleotide transfer RNA is filed under the name Camelus bactrianus (Bactrian camel). It matches the Rfam family "tRNA". Rfam says of the family: Transfer RNA (tRNA) molecules are approximately 80 nucleotides in length. The record is from Rfam by way of RNAcentral. Lineage: Eukaryota; Metazoa; Chordata; Mammalia; Artiodactyla; Camelidae. RNAcentral also lists the same sequence under 1 other name.